This 439-nucleotide ribosomal RNA is filed under the name uncultured eukaryote. RNAcentral describes it as "partial 18S ribosomal RNA". It matches the Rfam family "Eukaryotic small subunit ribosomal RNA", at positions 548 to 877 of the family's 1831-position model. The record is from RNAcentral.
AAGGAGGGCAAGUCUGGUGCCAGCAGCCGCGGUAAUCCAGCUCUAAUAGCGUAUAUAAUAUUGUUGCUAAGUUAAAAAGCUCGUAGUUGAAAUUUGGUAACUUUAUUGUAUUGGUUUGUCUUUUGAUGAACUGUAUAAUGGGUUUCUUCCUACUAGAGUUCGAUUCUGUUCUUAACUGAAUGGAGUAGCUAUCUCUCGGGGUGGUCAAUUGGUUGUUAUAUCUCCACUAAUAAGCAGAGAGGGGUUAAACCUUUGAAGUAAGUUAUGUGGGUCAAGGUAUGAUGAUUAAUUGGAGUUCUAGUUCAUUUACUUGAGAAAAUUAGAGUGUUUAAAGCAGCCUCUUGGGGCACUGAAUACAUUAGCAUGGGAUAAUAAAAUAGGAUCUUCACAAUAUAUUUUAUUGGUUUAAAAUUGCGUAUGAAGAUAAUGAUUAAUAGGG